This 68-nucleotide transfer RNA is filed under the name Ictidomys tridecemlineatus (thirteen-lined ground squirrel). RNAcentral describes it as "Spermophilus tridecemlineatus (thirteen-lined ground squirrel) tRNA". It matches the Rfam family "tRNA". From Rfam's summary of the family: Transfer RNA (tRNA) molecules are approximately 80 nucleotides in length. Lineage: Eukaryota; Metazoa; Chordata; Mammalia; Rodentia; Sciuridae. The record is from Rfam by way of RNAcentral.
GGAAUUGUGGCUCAGUGGUAGAGCACUCCCCUAGGAUGGGUGGGACCUGGGUUCGAUUCUCAGCACCA